This is a long non-coding RNA of Corvus moneduloides (New Caledonian crow), 1744 nucleotides long. The record is from Ensembl. NCBI's taxonomy places the organism in Eukaryota, Metazoa, Chordata, Aves, Passeriformes, Corvidae.
AUGAAGCCCUGGAUCCCCAGGCCGCAUCAGGAACCGGCGUCAUCCAGAAAAGAACCCUCGGAGGAUUUCUGGGUGAGUGGUUCAGAUCCCAUCCCUGUCACGCUGCUGGUUCUGCUGCUCCUGCUCCUGGCUUUGGGGGCGGCCUUGGCUGUGCAGUCAGGAAGCUGUGGUAAAACUCCAGUUACCCCAGUUGCACCUGUGGCUCCGGUGCUGCUGGCCUGUCCCAAGGGCUGGGUCGGGUACCGCGGGGUCUGCGACUUCCUCUCGAGGGAUCAGGGGACCUGGGGUCAGGGUCAGGCUCGGUGCUCCGAGCUCGGGGCCUCCCUGGCCGUGCUCAAGGAUGAGGAAAUGGAGUUCCCCUUCCCCUCUGUGGGAGCGCACAUCCCUGCCUCGGGCUGCGCAGACGGGGCCAGGGGCUGCCCCGGGGGGACGGCAGCAGCUUCAACUCCUCGUGAGUGCCGGGGAGCCGGGCAGGGCCUGGGGGGCACGGGGGCACAACGUGUCCCCCUGUGCUGCCAGCGCUGCCUCUGCUCCUCCUUGCAGGGUCGAGGUCCUGGGCGAUGCAGAGUGUGCGUUCCUUGGAGAGGGUGAACUCAGGAGCGGGACCUGCUCAAAUCCGCGGCCGUAUCUCUGCAGCAGGGCCCAAACUGCCCCGUGACAGGGGAUGCAGAGAGGACCUUCCCUCUGCUGGGCAGGCUCAGCUUCCCCUCUUCCCCCCCAGCACGGGGAUGUCCUUCCUCAGCCGCAGCGUCUGCCUUGCACUGGCUCUCAGGGUCACCUCAGUGCCACUUUGCAGGGUCACCUCGGUGCCUGGUCUCCAGGAGAUGAAGCUGCAGGAAGAGGAGAUGAUGUGGAAGCUGAUGUGUGGCUGCCUGGGCUGGGGCUGGGGGUUUCUUGCUCCUUCUUGGACCAUCCCAGAACUGAUCCUGUUUCUGUAACAGCACGUAUUUAUAGAGUAACCCUGUAGAUGGAUGGAUAGAUAUAGAUAGAUAUGGAUAUAGAUGAAUAUAGGUGUAAAACCUGGGCUUCCACAGGAAUGUGCCCUUGGUUGGGGCACGCUGCCAGUGAUGCCAAGGUUGUGAUUUGACCCCACGGGGGCCAUUCCCUUUAGAGUUGGACUCCACGAUCCUUGUGGGUUCCUUCCAGCUCAGAGGAGUCUGUGAGUCUAUGAAAUGGCCUUGUGUGACCCCCACCAGCACUCACAGGGCCAAUGUUGUUGUUGUGGUUGUUCACCCAAUUAUUCUGUUACUUUUGCAUGAAAUGCUUGUGCAGUGCCCCCGCUGUCCCUUGUGUCCCCUGGGCACCGACAGCCCCGGCCCUUGCCCUGCUCCCCCUCCCACGUUCCAUCCCGGCUGGCGGAGCCUUGGAGCUGCCGUGGGGCCGUGGGGCUGCCCCGGGGGCUGCGGCCCGAGCCGGGGCCCCUUCCCAGUGCUCCCAGUCUGCCCAUCCAGCCUGGAGCAGCCAGCGAGGGCUUCAGCUGGGGCGGCAGAGAGGCGCUGCUGGGGGGUCCCACCUCUGCUUGGUUUGGGUUGUCCUUCCUAAGCUGGGGAAAAACGACUUUGGGAGUUUUCUACCAAAAAUCUCCUCUCCUCCUGCACUCUGCCCAAGGGGUUUGGGGCCAUUUUCCCUUUUUGGAGGAAAUCAAAGCGAUGCACAGAGCCCUGGCAGGACAGGGCAGCCCUGCAGCCCCUGAGCCUGUGCUGGCCUGUGCAUAGUAGAGGAGCAAAGCAGCUCAGGGAUAAUU